RNAcentral lists this ribosomal RNA (253 nucleotides) under uncultured bacterium. RNAcentral describes it as "partial 16S ribosomal RNA". It matches the Rfam family "Bacterial small subunit ribosomal RNA", at positions 524 to 776 of the family's 1533-position model. The record is from RNAcentral.
UACGUAGGGGGCAAGCGUUGUCCGGAAUUACUGGGCGUAAAGAGUGUGUAGGCGGUGCUCUAAGUCUGUUGUGAAAUCUCCCGGCUUAACCGGGAGGGUGCGGCGGAAACUGGAGUGCUUGAGGGUGGGAGAGGUAAGCGGAAUUCCUGGUGUAGCGGUGAAAUGCGUAGAUAUCAGGAGGAACACCUGUGGUGUAGACAGCUUACUGGACCACUUCUGACGCUGAGACACGAAAGCGUGGGUAGCAAACAGG